RNAcentral lists this ribosomal RNA (484 nucleotides) under uncultured bacterium. Its description in RNAcentral is "partial 16S ribosomal RNA". It matches the Rfam family "Bacterial small subunit ribosomal RNA", at positions 29 to 507 of the family's 1533-position model. The record is from RNAcentral.
AUUGAACGCUGGCGGCAGGCCUAACACAUGCAAGUCGAGCGGAUGAGGGGAGCUUGCUCCUGGAUUCAGCGGCGGACGGGUGAGUAAUUCCUAGGAAUCUGCCUGGUAGUGGGGGAUAACGUCCGGUAACGGGCGCUAAUACCGCAUACGUCCUGAGGGAGAAAGUGGGGGUUCUUCGGACCUCACGCUAUCAGAUGAGCCUAGGUCGGAUUAGCUAGUUGGUGGGGUAAAGGCCUACCAAGGCGACGAUCCGUAACUGGUCUAAGAGGAGGAUCAGCAACAUGGGAACUAGGCACCGGUCCAGACACCAAGGGGAGGCGCAAGUGGGGAACAUUGGACAAGGGGGGAAGGCCGGAUCCAGCAAGGCGGGGGGGGGGAGGAAGGUCUCCGGAUUGAAAAGUACUUUAAGUUGGGAGGAAGGUCAGUAAGGUAAUAACCUGAUGUUUUGACGUUACCAACAGAAUAAGCACCGGCUAACUUCGUG